CUCACUUUGUCCUGUAGGUUCACCUGAAUUGGGGCAAGCUACAAAGUCCUCAGCAAAGAGAGCAAGAGAGGCCUCCAGAGGCCUGAACAAAGCAGCACCAGGAGGAGAUCAGGAACAGGCGCUUCUUGAAGUUGAGGGGAGACGUUUUCUUCUUCUGCUGCGAGCGCUUUAAGAAGAUACUCUCCAGGAUGACGCUGGCCAUGUUGGCCCCACCAGCCUCCUUCACGCCGUGCUUGCUGGGUUGCUGUGGGCAGGACAACACCAGCACGGCACUUGCUCAGCCAAAAACCUGCCCACCACUGGACCUCGCUCAGGUGCACUCUCCUCCCUGCCUGAGGGGCAGCCAGGAGGUGCUGCAACCCCCACAGGGGGAAUCAGCUGCAGAGGUGUGCAGGCAGCUUUGGAGGGCAAUCUGGGAGAAGCUGUUUCCCUCCCCUGCUGCCUGCAGCCCAUCUCCUCCAGGGGAGGUUCAGAGGUGAGUCAGAGUCAGAGGUUGAGCCCCUGCUACCUGGCCAAGCAGCCCGUCUGCCCCCUCCCCCCGCCCAGGACACAAACAUUGGCUCACUCACAACAGGGACCAGGUGAGGACCAAAGAUGCCAGGAACUGGUCCCAUCUGCUAUGCAUUUCUCCAGGGCAUGCCGCAGGCUGGGGGCAGGAGCAGGGGCAUCCCUCCAUCUGCUGGUGAUGCCCAGACUCUCUCAGCACAGCUCCUGCUGCUGCAGUGCUGACCCUGCCCCGCUGCUGUGGCUAUAGCCAGAGAGGCUGAGGACAAGCAGGGUUCCCCACUCCCAGGAUCCCCCCUUCCCUCU
Phalacrocorax carbo (great cormorant) is the source of this 810-nucleotide non-coding RNA. Lineage: Eukaryota; Metazoa; Chordata; Aves; Suliformes; Phalacrocoracidae. The record is from RefSeq and is a predicted model, not a curated record.